RNAcentral lists this long non-coding RNA (1494 nucleotides) under Triticum aestivum (bread wheat). RNAcentral describes it as "long non-coding RNA (TAES_LNC024242)". Lineage: Eukaryota; Viridiplantae; Streptophyta; Magnoliopsida; Poales; Poaceae. The record is from RNAcentral.
GCAGGUGGCUGGCCGGCUCCAUCUCCAUAGAUCCCCCCGACUCCUCCAUCUCAUCUUUCCCAAGCAUGCAGCAAACCACCAGUUUGUACGUGCGACGGCGAGGUGGAGCACGACGAUGCAGCAUGCGGCGGCGCGCACGACCAGGAGUAUGGCGGCGCAGAGGCACAACAAGGCGGGCGCAGACCACGACGAGGAGUAGGGCCACGUCGUGGAGGCGAUGACCAUGCCAAGCAGCCAACCGUCAGGGUAAGUUUUUUUGUUCCUGCUCGUGUACAUCUUGUGCUUGUGCGUGGAUGUGCAUGACGUACUUGUUCAUGAGUUUGUACUGGUAAUUAGAGUAGAGAACAAGAGAUCUGUAGUGGUCAAUUUCUAUUUUUUAGUUCGUGGCAAGAGAAAAAACAGAUUUUACUGCAUUACCGAUCUGUAGUGGUCAAUUUCAGUCAGGUUAGACUAUAAAUCUGUAAGUGAAAUCUGACUACAAAUCAAAGAACAAGAGAAUAUGAUAUUUCUAGUGGUCAAUUCAAGUCAGAUUCCACUUCUGUACACAUGACCUGAUCUACGGAUAUGCAUGUUAAUUAGUACAAUAAUUUGUUUCUACAAAAUCUGUCAGUUUAUUUCUAAAUUUCUAUCAAGUGGAUUGUGAAUGAUUAGUAUAAAGUUAGAGUCUGACUGUUUAAGAUUCGGUCCAUGUCAUGUGCUCAACUUCGUCCAUGUCAUCUGCUGAAUAGAAGAGCUCACAGUCUGUCGCUUUAGUUAUUAGUUUUUUUGGUUGUAAAAAUUGCAAUUUAGGUAUCAAAAUUGUACAGUUCAGACAAGAUAUUUGUUUCAAUUAAAGCUUGUGCUCAACUUCGUCCAUAUCAUGUACUGAAGAAAGGAUCUCACAGUUCCUUCAUCACUUAAAUCUUGCAUCAGGGGAUAGCAACUCCACUCUCUUUGCGACAUUUCAAAGUGUUCUUGAUGAUGAUGAAGAAACUAUGGUAACAUAUUCCACUCAUUAUAGUUGAUUUUACAUGGUACAAUAUUUGGUUCUUUAUUUCCAUGAUUUUAAUUAUUGUUCUUAUGAUAUGUUUACAUGAAGGAUGAGUCCGAGUCUAUCAUAACUGAAGCUUAGUCGGUCAUGCGGUGAAGAAAGAAGAUGAUGCCUAGAAGAAUACCUUCCUUCACUUAUAAUGAGAAUUGUGAUGUACUUAUGUCUCCUGGCUGUAGGAAACUAAGGCUGAUAAAUUCUGUUGGGCUAUUUCUAUGCUAUUUUGUAAGAAAUUAAGACUAAGAAAUUAUGUUGGGCUAUUCCUAUGUCAUUCUGUGAGGAACUAAGGCUGAGAUUUUUCUACUUAUGCUUAUUUGAUGUUCUGAUAUGUCAUUCUAUGAGAAUCUGAACGCUUAUUUCAUCUGGUGCCCUUCUCAUAUGUCAUUUUGUGAGAAUUUGAGUCUGUAUGUGAGUGGUGUGCCAUGUUAUGUGAUUUUCAAGGUAUUAUGUAUACGUGUUUUGAUAGG